RNA transcript from Dioscorea cayenensis subsp. rotundata (Guinea yam), 2012 nucleotides. It is a transcript of the gene named 15-cis-phytoene desaturase, chloroplastic/chromoplastic-like, with no coding region annotated. Lineage: Eukaryota; Viridiplantae; Streptophyta; Magnoliopsida; Dioscoreales; Dioscoreaceae. The record is from RefSeq and is a predicted model, not a curated record. The transcript has 16 exons.
UCUUCUUCUUCUUCACAAGCUAAGCGAAAGCAUGUUGGCCAUCUCCUCCGCCGCCACUCCUCCUCCUCCUCCGCCGUCGCCUCCAAGGUCCUUCUCCAGGCGCCAUUCCGGCCAUUGUAGUGCCGUAGCCUUGUCUCCCCACGCUGAUCACCCGUCGGAGAAGAAGAAGGUGGUGGUCGUCGGCUCCGGCUGGGCAGGCCUCGCCUCAGCUCAUCACCUCACUAAACAGGGCUUUGAUGUCACUGUUCUUGGAUCUGGGAAUGGUCCUGCUGAGGAGAUUGGCAUGAGAGGUUUCCGGUAUGCCUACCGAAAUAUUUUUUCCUUGGUAGAUGAACUUGGCAUCAAGCCUUUUACCAACUGGACUAGAUCUGCUCACUUCUCACCUGAUGGCUUAGAGGUUGAAUUUCCUAUAUUUCAAGAUCUACCUAAGCUGCCAGCUCCUUUUGGAGCUUUGUUAUAUCCUCAAUUCUUACGUCUCCCUUUGGUGGAUAGAUUGACAUCAAUUCCUCUUAUGGCAGCUGGUAUAUUAUUCAGUACCAACGUUCUAUUUAUCGACUUUGACAACACUGACAUUGCUUGGAGAAAAUAUGAUGCAAUGACCGCAAGGGAGCUUUUUAAACAAUUUGGCUGCUCAGAAAGGCUUUACAGAGAGGCUUUUGAGCCAUUUCUUCAGAUUGGUUUGUUUGCUCCUGGAGAACAAUGCAGUGCAGCUGCAACCCUUGGAAUGCUCUAUUAUUUCUUCCUUGCUCACCAGCAAAACUUUGAUGUCUUAUGGUGUCGUGGGAGUGUGCAAAAUAAAAUAUUUACCCCAUGGCUGGAGUCUAUGAAAAUAUAUGGCUGCAAAUUUCAUGGAAACAGCAAGGUGACAGAUUUUAUUUUGGAUGGAAAUAAUGGGACCAUUGCAGAAGUUGUGUGUGGACAAGAGGCUUUUCAAGCUGAUGCUGUCAUUCUUGCUGAAGGUGUUUCUGCAAUACAGUCCACUGUUUCAAGCAGUCCAGUGCUUCAAUCAAGGGAAGAGUUUCUGCAGGUUCUGAACUUGAGUUCCAUUGAUGUUAUCAGUUUAAGAUUAUGGUUGGAUAGAAAGGUACAAAUUCUGAAGCCCGGCAAUGUUUGCUUUGGUGUUGAUGGCUUGAGUGGAUGGACAUUCUUUGACCUGAACUCAAUAUAUGAUGAGUAUGAAGAUGAACCGGCUACUGUCUUACAGGCUGAUUUUGCUUAUGCAAGGCAGCUUUUACCACUAAAAGAUGAUCAGAUUGUUCAGAAAGUAGUUUCAUGUCUUUCCAUAUGCAUAAAAGAAUUGAAUGGGGCUACUGUGCUGCAGCACAUUGUUGAUAGAUUUCCCAAUUCAGCAACUCACUAUUUUCCAGGUUCCUACAAAUAUAUGAUGCGUGGCUCAAGUAGUUUUCCGAACUUGUUCAUGGCUGGUGACUGGAUUGUUACUCGUCAUGGUUCUUGGUCACAAGAGAAAGCUUAUGUCACCGGACUCGAAGCUGCCAACAGGGUGGUGGAUUACUUUGGUGAUGGGAGUCUUGCAAAAAUAAUUGCGGUAGAGGAAGAUGAACCUCAUAUUGAAACACUACGCAGCAUCAAUAGAAGACUCGGGGAAUUGCGAGCCGAACUUCCCUUGUCUGACUUUUUUCUUCAGUAAAGGUAUGCAUGCAUGGAAUGUUGUUAUGAAGAUGUUGAGAAAUUUAUGGACAUAUAAGGUUUAAAAUUUAAUAUAAUGAUCGAAGUGACUUCACAGGUGCUUCACCUCCUACUCUCAACCAUGGAUGCUCUGUUCAUAUGUUUAAAGUUUCAAGUUUUUGACUACUGUGACGCUCUUCUUAAUGAUGGCAUGUGAAAAAAUGUCUUGCACUCACCAAGGGCCUGAGCAGCAGAUGAGAAGAAGAUUUGAAGCUGUGAUAAUACCUGCCCAGAAAGGAGGCAUUCCACAAAGAAGGAUGUAAAGAAUGACACCAGCACUCCAUACAUCAAUCUCCUUCCCAUAAUUCCUUUUCAAUACUUCUGGA